This 73-nucleotide transfer RNA is filed under the name Ovis aries (sheep). It matches the Rfam family "tRNA". From Rfam's summary of the family: Transfer RNA (tRNA) molecules are approximately 80 nucleotides in length. Their secondary structure includes four short double-helical elements and three loops (D, anti-codon, and T loops). Lineage: Eukaryota; Metazoa; Chordata; Mammalia; Artiodactyla; Bovidae. The record is from Rfam by way of RNAcentral.
UCCCUGGUGGUCCAGCGGCUAAGGCUAUAUGCUCCCAGUGCAUGGGGCCCAGGUUCAAUCCCUGGUCAGGGAA